RNAcentral lists this transfer RNA (76 nucleotides) under Psychromonas sp. CNPT3. Its description in RNAcentral is "tRNA-Arg (CCT) (tRNA-Arg-CCT-1-1)". It matches the Rfam family "tRNA". From Rfam's summary of the family: Transfer RNA (tRNA) molecules are approximately 80 nucleotides in length. Their secondary structure includes four short double-helical elements and three loops (D, anti-codon, and T loops). Lineage: Bacteria; Pseudomonadati; Pseudomonadota; Gammaproteobacteria; Alteromonadales; Psychromonadaceae. The record is from RNAcentral.
CUCUUCAUAGCUCAACAGGAUAGAGCACCCGCCUCCUAAGCGGAUGAUUUGGGUUCGAGUCCCGAUGAGGAGACCA